This 468-nucleotide ribosomal RNA is filed under the name uncultured bacterium. RNAcentral describes it as "partial 16S ribosomal RNA". It matches the Rfam family "Bacterial small subunit ribosomal RNA", at positions 28 to 507 of the family's 1533-position model. The record is from RNAcentral.
GACGAACGCUGGCGGCGUGCUUAACACAUGCAAGUCGAACGGAAAGGCCCUGCUUGUGUGGGGUGCUCGAGUGGCGAACGGGUGAGUAACACGUGAGUAACCUGCCCUUGACUUUGGGAUAACUUCAGGAAACUGGGGCUAAUACCGGAUAGGAGCUCCUGCUGCAUGGUGGGGGUUGGAAAGUUUCGGCGGUUGGGGAUGGACUCGCGGCUUAUCAGCUUGUUGGUGGGGUAGUGGCUUACCAAGGCUUUGACGGGUAGCCGGCCUGAGAGGGUGACCGGCCACAUUGGGACUGAGAUACGGCCCAGACUCCUACGGGAGGCAGCAGUGGGGAAUAUUGCACAAUGGGCGGAAGCCUGAUGCAGCAACGCCGCGUGCGGGAUGACGGCCUUCGGGUUGUAAACCGCUUUCGCCUGUGACGAAGCGUGAGUGACGGUAAUGGGUAAAGAAGCACCGGCUAACUACGUG